This 253-nucleotide ribosomal RNA is filed under the name uncultured bacterium. RNAcentral's name for it is "partial 16S ribosomal RNA". It matches the Rfam family "Bacterial small subunit ribosomal RNA", at positions 524 to 776 of the family's 1533-position model. The record is from RNAcentral.
UACGAGGGGGGCGAGCGUUGUUCGGAUUCAUUGGGCGUAAAGGGUGCGUAGGUGGCGCCGUAAGUCGGGUGUGAAAUUUCGGAGCUUAACUCCGAAACUGCAUUCGAUACUGCGGUGCUUGAGGACUGGAGAGGAGACUGGAAUUCAUGGUGUAGCAGUGAAAUGCGUAGAGAUCAUGAGGAAGACCAGUGGCGAAGGCAGGUCUCUGGACAGUUCCUGACACUGAGGCACGAAGGCCAGGGGAGCAAACGGG